AAAAAUGUUAGAUUGACUAACCUAUUUGAGCCAAAACUCUAGCCCAUAACACUAUCACAAAUUUCUAACCACAUUAAACAAACCAUUUGACACGAUCAGUAAAGGCGAUUAAACAUCAACUUACGGAGCAACAGACACAGUACCGCAAGGGAAACAUGAAAAAACAAUGAAACACUAAAGCCAAACAAAGCAGGGACCAACCCCCGUACCUAUUGCAUCACGGUCUAGCAAGAACCACACAGACAUGGAGCACCAGCCUGUGCCCCCGAAAUCAAGUGAGCUACCUUAGAGCAACCACAUAGGGUAAACCCGUCCCUGUAGCAAAAGGGUGGGAAGACUCCAAGGUAGCAGUGAAAAGCCUACCGAACUUGAUGAUAGCUGGUUGCCUGAUAAAUGAACAUAAGUUCAACCCUAAAUUAUACACUAACACACCCUAGUAGACACUUAAUAUAGGAUUUAGUCAAUGGGGGUACAGCCCCAUUGACCCGGGAUACAACCCGAAGUAAAGAGCCAGCACUCAAUCACCCACCAGUAGGCCUUAAAGCAGCCAUCAAAAACAUUGCGUCACAGCAUGGACAAAAAAAUACCACACAUACAACCAACCUCUUACAAACACAUCAGAGCUACUCUAUAAAAAUAUAGAAGAACUAAUGCUAGAACUAGUAACAAGAAUUUAUCUCUAUGCACAACUGUAAAUCAGUUAGCAGAAAACCUACUGAAAAUUAACAGCCUAAUACACUCACCUUAACAAACAUUAACUACCACUGUUAAACCGACACAGGAGUGCUAAAAAGAAAGAUUAACAGUUAAAGAAGGAACUCGGCAAAUCACAUCCCAACUGUUUACCAAAAACAUAGCCUUUAGCUAUAUUAGUAUUAAAGGUGACGCCUGCCCAGUGAACAAUUUUUAACGGCCGCGGUAUCCUAACCGUGCAAAGGUAGCGUAAUCACUUGUCCCUUAAAUAGGGACCAGUAUGAACGGCUAAAUGAGGAUAUAUCUGUCUCCUUUAACAAAUCAGUGAAACUGAUCCACCAGUACAAAAGCUGGUAUAAACCCAUUAGACGAGAAGACCCUGUGGAGCUUUAAAUUUAAACCAAACAAUCCAGCACAAUAUACCAGNNNNNNNNNNAAAAUUUUAAGUUGGGGCGACUUCGGAAAAAAACAAAACUUCCGAGCAUAAGACAUAUGUCUUAACCAAGACCAACAAGUCAAAGAUAAAACUUGAUCCAGUACAACUGAUAACCGAACCAAGUUACCCCAGGGAUAACAGCGCAAUCUUCUUCAAGAGUCCCCAUCGACAAGAAGGUUUACGACCUCGAUGUUGGAUCAGGACACCCAAAUGGUGCAGCCGCUAUUAAACAAUCCAGGUCGGUUUCUAUCUAUGUAGUUGCUUUCUUUAGUACGAAAGGACCAAGAAAGCAGGACCAAUACUAAUAGCAAGUCCUAAAUACAAAGCUGAGUACAACUCAAGCCAAUCAACACAACAUUAGAACACCUCAAAAUAAGAGGCUUA
This 1513-nucleotide ribosomal RNA is filed under the name Sceloporus magister (desert spiny lizard). RNAcentral's name for it is "16S ribosomal RNA". It matches the Rfam family "Bacterial large subunit ribosomal RNA", at positions 361 to 2831 of the family's 2925-position model. Lineage: Eukaryota; Metazoa; Chordata; Lepidosauria; Squamata; Phrynosomatidae. The record is from RNAcentral.